Molecule: ribosomal RNA, 306 nt
Filed under: Triticum aestivum (bread wheat)
Lineage: Eukaryota; Viridiplantae; Streptophyta; Magnoliopsida; Poales; Poaceae
Description: partial small subunit ribosomal RNA
Source: RNAcentral
AUGCUUUUGCUCUACCCCCUUUUACUAGCAAUUCGAUGGUGCUGCUUGAAUAUUUUGUUCCUAAUGCAUGCAACACAAUACAUCCCUUAUCUGCAUAGAUCUGCUUGUUCUCGAAUCGGUUCAAAUAAAUAUGAUGCUGAUUUGGUUCCUUCUACUUCUACAGGUUUGAAUACUAUGGUCAGAUUUUUUUCCCGAGAAUCCACAAGUUGUGCUGGUCUUGAAGAAUGUAUUAAGUUCAUUGCAAACUUAAAGUUCAGAGAUGAUAUGCAAGGGCGCCGCCUCUCCCUCACCGUCCAUCGUCACUAG